UACGUAGGCAGCAAGCGUUGUUCGGAGUUACUGGGCGUAAAGGGUGUGUAGGCGGUUUUUUAAGUUUGGUGUGAAAUCUCCCGGCUCAACUGGGAGGGUGCGCCGAAUACUGAAAGACUAGAGUGCGGGAGAGGAAAGUGGAAUUCCUGGUGUAGCGGUGAAAUGCGUAGAUAUCUGGAGGAACACCGGUGGCGAAGGCGGCAUCCUGGACCGGCAUUGACGCUGAGGCGCGAAAGCCAGGGGAGCAAACGGG
Molecule: ribosomal RNA, 253 nt
Filed under: uncultured bacterium
Lineage: Bacteria
Description: partial 16S ribosomal RNA
Rfam family: Bacterial small subunit ribosomal RNA
Source: RNAcentral